Molecule: long non-coding RNA, 2833 nt
Filed under: Homo sapiens (human)
Lineage: Eukaryota; Metazoa; Chordata; Mammalia; Primates; Hominidae
Description: HSALNT0243253
Source: RNAcentral
AGACCAACCUGGGCAACAUAGCAAGACCCCCGUCUCUACAAAAUUAAAACAUUAGCUAGGCAUGGUGGAGUGUGCCUGUAGUCCUAGCUACUAUGGAGGCUGAAGUGGGAGGAUAGCUUAAGCCCAGGAGGUUGAGGCUGCAAUGAGCCACAACUGUGUCACUGCACUCCAGACUUGGUGACACAGUGAGACCCAGUCUAAAAAAAAAGAAAAAGAAAAUCCCAGCUACAGUCUUUGUACCAGCAGUACCUAACAAAGUGUUUUCUACAUAGAAACUGAAUUGAAGGUUGGGCAACUGAGCGAGACCCUGUCUCAAAAAAAUAAAAAUAAACAACUUUUUGGUAGCUUAAAUAGUAUGAAAAAAAGGAAACAGGCAGGCAGGGUGUGGUGGCUCACGCCUGUAAUCCCAACACUUUGGGAAGCCGAGGCGGGUGGAUCACCUGAGGUCAGGAGUUUGAGACCAGCCUGGCCAACAUGGUGAAACCCCGUCUCUACUAAAAAUACAAAAAUUAGCCAGGUGUGGUGGCAGGCGCCUGUAAUCCCAGCUACUCGGGAAGCUGAGGCAGGAGAAUUGCUUGAACCCGGGAGGCAGAGGUUGCAGUGAGUCGAGAUCGCGCCAUCGCACUCCAGCCCGGGGGACAAGAGCGAGACUUCGUCUCAAAAAAAAAAAAAAAAAAGAAAGAAACUGAAUUGAAUUAAAAGAUGCUGACAGAUCUCUUUAAUUAUAGAUGUCAAUGUGAUCUUUCACAAGCACACUGAAAAAUUCACACCGUGGAAAAGAACUAAAGUCCCAUCCUAAUUCAUCAGAGCCUUCUGUUUCCUGUAACAAAGAAGAACUCACAAGAUCAGGAUUCCAAGCAACUGCAACUGAACUCCUCUGUUCUGAUAAAUUAUAUUGCCCCAGCUUCCUCAUUUUAUAUUGCUGACCAUGUAUCUUCUCCUGAAGACCAAAUACGAAGAAAUACACAAGCUUCUUGUAUAGAAGAUACCUAAAAAGUGUUUGCUGAAUGAAGAAAUAAAGGAUUGCUCAGGCACCACUGGCACUUUAAGUUGUUCAGCAAGUACUCGUGCCUCUUAAGAACUGGCCAAGGGCCGGGCGUGGUGGUUCAUGCCUGUAAUCCCAGCAUUUUGGGACGCCGAGGCGGGCAGAUCACGAAGUCAGGAGUUCGAGACCAGCGUGGCCAACGUGGUGAAACCCCAUCUCUACUAAAAAUACAAAAACUUAGCCGGGUGUGGUGGCCUGCGCCUGUAGUCCCAGCUACUCGGGAGGCUGAGGCACAAGAAUUGCUUGAACCCACGAGGAGGAGCUUGCAGUAAGCCGAGAUCGCGCCAUUGCACUCCAGCCUGGGCAACAGGGCAAGACUCUGUCCUGAAAGAAAAAAAAAAAAAAAAAAAAAAAGAACUGGCCGAGGUCUUAGCUGGAGCACUCUCUCUACCCUGCAUGUUUGACUGCAUUUCUGUCCAUUUUCAAUCCGUUUUGGUUAUACGUUUUUUCACACAGGUCUGUUGAACUUAGAACACCGAAGGCCUGUGUAUUUUCAUGGCUCACAGCUCAUGUUGUGUUGACCUGCCCCACUGUGGUUAAUGUUUAGCCCCUAAACCACCAGCUGAAUGUCCUUAAAUCUGAAAGAAUAAUGAACACACGCCAACAGAUAGCUUAGGUUUAUUUGGUGACUUGCGCCACAUACUUUGCGAAUAUCAUCUCAGUCAUCCUUUUAGCAUCUCUCUCAGGCACAUACUCUCCUCUGUGGUGGCUCAUGCCGGUAAUCCCAGCCCUUUGGGAGGCCGAGGCGGGCAGAUCACUUGAGGCAAGGAGUUCGAGACCAGCCUGGCCAACACGGUGAAACCCCAUCUCUACUAAAAAUACAAAAAUUAGCCGGCUAUGGUGGCAUGCGCCUGUAAUCCCAGCUGCUCGAGAGGCUGAGGCAGGAGAAUCAUUUGAACCCAGGAGGCAGAGGUUGCAGUGAGCCUAGACUGCACCAUUGCACUUCAGCCUGGGUGAGACCCCAUCUCAAAUCAAUCAAUCAAUCAAUCAAUCAAUCAAUCAAUAAGGGAAAAGCUAUCACACAGCAGAAUACAGUCCAAGGGUAACUACUGAAGGGCCAGAUCAAGGAGCAAAGUCUAUCAUGUAUCAACCUUUACAGUGUCCCCAAGGGUCAGCUGUGUAUAGGGGCCCACACAGAAUUUGGAAUCCAAAUACAUCUCUGGAUCCCCAGGCCUGUGUUUGACUCGCCAGGUAGUAAUGAGAUGUCUCCAUUUUCUGCAGGCUGAAUGAUUCCCUCAGAGCAGAAGUAUAAGCAUAUUUAUUGUUUUUCCUUCUAUCAUAAACAGUUAUUAGUUGUGGCCCUUUCUCCCUUCCAAAUAGGUGCCCAAAUUUCUGGAAGUGGAAAGGGCCCAACUUUCCCAUAUCAGGGGGUGGGCCCCACUGGGCGUGAGCCAAUCAGUGUCUUCUGUCCUGUGAGCUCCCGAUUUAUGCUGGUCUAUAACCUGAGAUGGCCUUCUCAGGAUGGACCUCCAGGGAUUGCUGGAACUUGGACUCUUGUCAGCCUGGUAAAUGGUAUGUCUUAGAUCUGCUGCAGCCGUCGUGGAAAACUUGAAGCUGCCAGGAGAGAGGGGUUCCAACAUGUGGUGGCUAAAGAAUGAAUCCAACUCAAAGGAAGCAGAGCCAAGAAAUGGAUCCAUGCUGUUUGAAUCUUGGAUCAAAUUGUGCCUGGAUCUCCAGUGAGACAAUAAAUUCCUGUAUUACUCAAGCCUAUUUGAGAUUGUUUUCUUUCACUUGAAACAUUAAACUUUUAAAUUGAUACACCCUAGUUAAAUUAUAAACUGUGUGACA